CUCCGAAAGGCUUUUUUGUAUUAGAGUUCCCAGGUCAACAAAUGUCUUCGUAUACCAAAUGGAUACAAAUGGAGAAGAAUGACUGGCAAUGAGUCUUUUCUUUUAUGAUACUGAAUGAGAGAUCAUUAUACUUCUGUGAUGCUGAUCACGUUUUAUUUCUAAUUAGCUGAAAAAUUUGGUGCAUGUGUCUUUACAUCUUGGUGCAAAAACCAAACACUAAGAAAUCUAUGAGAAAUGGUAUAUCAAGCAAAUACAUUUGCUGGAGAUUCUUGGAGGGACAGAAGAGAAUCCUGUUAUUCAGCUCUGAAGGAUGGAAAGUGGAAUAGACUUAGCAGUCAGACUCUGCAUAAAAUCUUUCUGUUCAGUGCAGGAAAUGAAGCAGGGGUGUUCCUUCUUGCUGCAGCUGGCUUUAACUCAGGGCACUCCUGCUGGAGGCCAGAGCAUAGCUGUGGACCUGUGGCUUCUCUUUCUGUGAGCUCUGACAGAGGUGGGCUGCAGAAAGAAAAAUGA
This 510-nucleotide long non-coding RNA is filed under the name Phasianus colchicus (ring-necked pheasant). RNAcentral describes it as "lncRNA (ENSPCLG00000011041.1)". The record is from RNAcentral. Lineage: Eukaryota; Metazoa; Chordata; Aves; Galliformes; Phasianidae.